RNAcentral lists this ribosomal RNA (1346 nucleotides) under uncultured bacterium. RNAcentral describes it as "bacterial SSU rRNA". It matches the Rfam family "Bacterial small subunit ribosomal RNA", at positions 29 to 1390 of the family's 1533-position model. The record is from RNAcentral.
GUGAACGCUGGCAACAAGCAUAACACAUGCGAGUUUAAAGAUAAUUUUUAUCUUAGCGAACGGGUGAGUAAUACACGAUUGUCUCUGCCUUAAAAUUAGGGCUAUUGCAGUUUAGAAAAGAUUUCUAAAUGAACUUUUAACAAGGCAAGAAUCCCUUAAAGAGUAUUCUCGUUUUAAGAUGAGGUCGUGUACGAUUAGGUAGUUGGUGGGGUUGAGCUUACCAAGCCGAUGAUCGUUAGUUGGUCUGAGAGGAUGAUCAAUCACACUGGGACUGAGACAAGGCCCAGGCUUUUUCGAAAGCCAGCAGUGUGGAAUUUUGGACAAUGAGCGAAAGCUUGAUCCAGCUAUGUUGCGUGAGUGAAGAAGGCUCCUUGAGGUUGUAAAACUCAAUCUUCAAUGAGGAUAAUGACGUUAAUUGAAGAAAAAGCCCCGGCUAAUGUUCGUGCCAGCAGCCGCGGUUAUACGGAGGGGGCGAACGUUAUCCAGAUUGACUGGGCGUAAAGGGUUCGUAGGCGGUUUUACACAGUUGCAGAGAAAAGACCAGAUUAAACCUUUGGGAAAAUUUGCAAAACGGUAAGACUAAAGUUCAACAGGGGGUAGCGGAAUUUUGCAUGUAGGGGUGGUAUCCAUAAAUAUGCGAAGGAGACCGGUGGCGAAGGCGGCUACCUGGGUUGAAACUGACGUUCAGGGACGAAAGCAUGGGGAGCAAACAGGAUUAGAUACCCUGGUAGUCCAUGCCGUAAACGAUGGGUGCUCAACAGGAGAUCAAAGAUUUCCAGGAGAGAUGGGAAACCUAUAAGCACUCCGCCUGAGAAGUACGACCGCAAGGUUGAAACUCAAAGAAAUUGACGGGGGCUCAUACAAGUGGUGGAGCAUGUGGUUUAAUACGAUAAUACGCGUCCAACCUUACCAGUUCUUGAUAUGUAAGAUCAAACAAGGCUUGUCCUUGACAGAUGCCUUGGUAAUAGGUGGAAAGUUCUUACACAGGUGUUGCAUGGCUGUCGUCAGCUCGUGUCGUAAGAUGUUUGGUUCAGUCCUUUAACGAGCGAAACCUCUAUUUGUGGUUGCUAAUUACAAAAAUUUUGUAAAGAACUUCACAAAAACUGCCGAAUAUUCAACAGAGAGGAAGGUGGAGAUCACGUCAAGUCCUUAUGGCCCUUAUGAACUGGGCUACACACGUGCUACAAUGGGAAGAACAGCGGGCGACAAAAACGUAAGUUUGAGUAAAUCCUUAAAUCUUUCCGUAGUUCGGAUUGAAGACUGCAACUCGUCUUCAUGAAGUCGGAAUCACUAGUAAUCGUAGAUCAGGACGCUACGGUGAAUUUGUACCUGGGCUUUGCACUCAC